RNAcentral lists this ribosomal RNA (253 nucleotides) under uncultured bacterium. RNAcentral's name for it is "partial 16S ribosomal RNA". It matches the Rfam family "Bacterial small subunit ribosomal RNA", at positions 524 to 776 of the family's 1533-position model. The record is from RNAcentral.
UACAGAGGUCUCAAGCGUUGUUCGGAUUCAUUGGGCGUAAAGGGCGCGUAGGCGGCGGGGUAAGUCGGGUGUGAAAUCUCAGAGCUCAACUCUGAAACUGCACUCGAUACUGCUCUGCUUGAGGACUGGAGAGGAGACUGGAAUUCACGGUGUAGCAGUGAAAUGCGUAGAUAUCGGGAGGAACACCAGUGGCGAAGGCGACUUCCUGGCCUGUUCUUGACGCUGAGGCGCGAAAGCUAGGGUAGCAAACGGG